Molecule: ribosomal RNA, 424 nt
Filed under: uncultured bacterium
Lineage: Bacteria
Description: bacterial SSU rRNA
Rfam family: Bacterial small subunit ribosomal RNA
Source: RNAcentral
AUAUUGCGCAAUGGGGGCAACCCUGACGCAGCGACGCCGCGUGGAUGAUGAAGGCCCUUGGGUCGUAAAAUCCUGUCAGAUGGAAAGAAAUGUAUAGCAGCUAAUAUCUGUUAUAUUUGACGGUACCAUCAAAGGAAGCACCGGCUAACUCCGUGCCAGCAGCCGCGGUAAUACGGAGGGUGCGAGCGUUGUUCGGAAUUACUGGGCGUAAAGCGCGCGUAGGCGGUUUGCUUAGUCAGAUGUGAAAGCCCUCGGCUUAACCGGGGACGUGCAUUUGAAACUGGCAGACUUGAGUACUGGAGGGGGUGGUGGAAUUCCCGGUGUAGAGGUGAAAUUCGUAGAUAUCGGGAGGAAUACCGGUGGCGAAGGCGACCACCUGGCCAGAUACUGACGCUGAGGUGCGAAAGCGUGGGGAGCAAACAGG